RNAcentral lists this ribosomal RNA (499 nucleotides) under uncultured bacterium. RNAcentral's name for it is "partial 16S ribosomal RNA". It matches the Rfam family "Bacterial small subunit ribosomal RNA", at positions 28 to 507 of the family's 1533-position model. The record is from RNAcentral.
GACGAACGCUGGCGGCGUGCCUAAUACAUGCAAGUCGAGCGAAGUUUUUCUGGUGCUUGCACCGGAAAAACUUAGCGGCGACCGGGUGAGUAACACGUAAAGAACCUGCCUCAUAGACUGGGACAACUAUUGGAAACGAUAGCUAAUACCGGAUAACAGCAUUAACUGCAUGGUUGAUGUUUAAAAGUUGGUUUUGCUAACACUAUGAGAUGGCUUUGCGGUGCAUUAGCUAGUUGGUGGGGUAAAGGCCUACCAAGGCGACGAUGCAUAGCCGACCUGAGAGGGUGAUCGGCCACACUGGGACUGAGACACGGCCCAGACUCCUACGGGAGGCAGCAGUAGGGAAUCUUCCGCAAUGGGCGAAAGCCUGACGGAGCAACGCCGCGUGAGUGAAGAAGGAUUUCGGUUCGUAAAGCUCUGUUGUUAGGGAAGAAUGAUUGUGUAGUAACUAUACACAGUAGAGACGGUACCUAACCAGAAAGCCACGGCUAACUACGUG